Molecule: ribosomal RNA, 431 nt
Filed under: uncultured bacterium
Lineage: Bacteria
Description: partial 16S ribosomal RNA
Rfam family: Bacterial small subunit ribosomal RNA
Source: RNAcentral
AACGAACGCUGGCGGCAGGCUUAACACAUGCAAGUCGAGCGCCCCGCCAGGGGAGCGGCAGACGGGUGAGUACCGCGUGGGAACGUACCUUUUGGUUCGGAACAACUCCGGGACACUGGAGCUAAUACCGGAUAAGCCCUAACGGGGAAAGAUUUAUCGCCGAAAGAUCGGCCCGCGUCUGAUUAGCUAGUUGGUGAGGUAACGGCUCACCAAGGCGACGAUCAGUAGCUGGUCUGAGAGGAUGAUCAGCCACACUGGGACUGAGACACGGCCCAGACUCCUACGGGAGGCAGCAGUGGGGAAUAUUGGACAAUGGGCGCAAGCCUGAUCCAGCCAUGCCGCGUGAGUGAUGAAGGCCUUAGGGUUGUAAAGCUCUUUUGUCCGGGAAGAUAAUGACUGUACCGGAAGAAUAAGCCCCGGCUAACUUCGUG